RNAcentral lists this signal recognition particle RNA (93 nucleotides) under Klebsiella pneumoniae subsp. pneumoniae. RNAcentral's name for it is "signal recognition particle sRNA small type". It matches the Rfam family "Bacterial small signal recognition particle RNA". Rfam says of the family: The signal recognition particle (SRP) is a universally conserved ribonucleoprotein involved in the co-translational targeting of proteins to membranes. Archaeal SRP consists of a 7S RNA and homologues of the eukaryotic SRP19 and SRP54 proteins. Lineage: Bacteria; Pseudomonadati; Pseudomonadota; Gammaproteobacteria; Enterobacterales; Enterobacteriaceae. The record is from RNAcentral.
UGUUGGUUCUCCCGCAACGCUACUCUGUUUACCGUGUCAGGUCCGGAAGGAAGCAGCCAGAGCAGACGACGUGUGUGGAUGUAGCUGGCAGGG